Molecule: long non-coding RNA, 522 nt
Organism: Empidonax traillii (willow flycatcher)
Lineage: Eukaryota; Metazoa; Chordata; Aves; Passeriformes; Tyrannidae
Exons: 3
Source: RefSeq, a predicted model, not a curated record
UUUCUGUAGUAUCUGCUGUGCAACUGCUUUUAAGUUUGUUGCUCGAAGAACGUGCAAUUGUAUUCCAGAAAGCCAGUUGUAUCCUGGCUGCAUCCUCACAGCGUGGCCAGGAAGUUGAGGGAGAUGAUUGUCCCCCUCUGCUCUGAGAGGCAUUCAUGCUCUCCCACAGUGGUGCAGGGAACUGCUGGCUUGAAGAUGGAGAAAACUAAGGUGAAAGGAGUUAGAAGUGGAGAUUCUGGAAUAUCAUUUUUAUGUCAUCCCACAAAAAUUAGGAUGAAUUCAAAGAGAUCACAUACAAUUACAGCAUGGUGACCUAACUCUGGGAAUCAUCAAGGAACAGGAGAACAACAGAGAACUGAUCACUUACAAUUCUUUAUUGAUCCUGUGUUUUGCCAACACCAACCACCUCUUCCCAGUGAAAACAAUAAUCACCAAUCCUGCAUUGUAGGAGGCCUGGAUGAAGUUGGGAAUAUGAAUGAGUGGUAGAACAAAGCACCAAUAAAGCAAAUAACUGGAUAAACU